ACGUAGGGGGCAAGCGUUGUUCGGAAUUAUUGGGCGUAAAGGGUGCGUAGGCGGUUUGGUAAGUCUUAUGUGAAAUCUACAGGCUCAACUUGUAGUCUGCAUGAGAAACUGCCGGGCUUGAGUAUGGGAGAGGUGAGUGGAAUUCCUGGUGUAGCGGCGAAAUGCGUAGAUAUCGGGAGGAACACCUGUGGCGAAAGCGGCUCACUGGACCAUAACUGACGCUGAGGAGCGAAAGCGUGGGGAGCGAACAGGA
Molecule: ribosomal RNA, 253 nt
Filed under: uncultured prokaryote
Description: partial 16S ribosomal RNA
Rfam family: Bacterial small subunit ribosomal RNA
Source: RNAcentral